RNAcentral lists this ribosomal RNA (734 nucleotides) under uncultured Campylobacter sp. RNAcentral describes it as "bacterial SSU rRNA". It matches the Rfam family "Bacterial small subunit ribosomal RNA", at positions 28 to 776 of the family's 1533-position model. The record is from RNAcentral. Lineage: Bacteria; Pseudomonadati; Campylobacterota; Epsilonproteobacteria; Campylobacterales; Campylobacteraceae.
AGUGAACGCUGGCGGCGUGCCUAAUACAUGCAAGUCGAACGAUGAAGUCCUAGCUUGCUAGGAUGGAUUAGUGGCGCACGGGUGAGUAAUAUAUAGUUAAUCUGCCCUACACAGAGGAACAACAGUUGGAAACGGCUGCUAAUACCUCAUACUCCUAUUUGACAUAAGUUAAAUAGGGGAAAGUCUUUUCGGUGUAGGAUGAGACUAUAUCGUAUCAGCUAGUUGGUAAGGUAAUGGGCUUACCAAGGCUAUGACGCGUAACUGGUCUGAGAGGAUGAUCAGUCACAUUGGAACUGAGACACGGUCCAAACUCCUACGGGAGGCAGCAGUAAGGAAUAUUGCGCAAUGGGGGAAACCCUGACGCAGCAACGCCGCGUGGAGGAUGACACUUUUCGGAGCGUAAACUCCUUUUAUCAGGAAAGAAUAAUGACGGUACCUGAUGAAUAAGCACCGGCUAACUCCGUGCCAGCAGCCGCGGUAAUACGGGGGGUGCAAGCGUUACUCGGAAUCACUGGGCGUAAAGGACGCGUAGGCGGAUUAUCAAGUCUUUUGUGAAAUCUAGUGGCUUAACCACUAAACUGCUUAGGAAACUGAUAGUCUAGAGUAGGGGAGAGGUAGAUGGAAUUCUUGGUGUAGGGGUAAAAUCCGUAGAGAUCAAGAAGAAUACCCAUUGCGAAAGCGAUCUGCUGGAACCUAACUGACGCUGAGGCGUGAAAGCGUGGGUAGCAAACAGG